Molecule: ribosomal RNA, 400 nt
Filed under: uncultured bacterium
Lineage: Bacteria
Description: bacterial SSU rRNA
Rfam family: Bacterial small subunit ribosomal RNA
Source: RNAcentral
GAAUAUUGGACAAUGGGCGAAAGCCUGAUCCAGCAAUGCCGCGUGAGUGAUGAAGGCCUUAGGGUUGUAAAGCCCUUUUACCAGGGAUGAUAAUGACAGUACCUGGAGAAUAAGCUCCGGCUAACUCCGUGCCAGCAGCCGCGGUAAUACGGAGGGAGCUAGCGUUGUUCGGAAUUACUGGGCGUAAAGCGCACGUAGGCGGCGCAUUAAGUCAGGUGUGAAAGCCCUGGGCUCAACCCAGGAAUAGCACUUGAUACUGAUGCGCUUGAAUUCGGGAGAGGAUGACGGGAUUCCCAGUGUAGAGGUGAAAUUCAUUGAUAUUGGGAAGAACACCAGUGGCGAAGGCGGUCAUCUGGCCCGUAAUUGACGCUGAGGCGCGAAAGCGUGGGGAGCAAACAGG